GCUGGAGAUUCCUGCCUACCUGAGGCCUCUUGAAGAGCUCGUCCUGGCCCAGCUCACCCCUGGCUUGUAACAGCACCGCUGGCAUUACGGCGAGUCAAACCCCGGCAAUAAAGGAGAAUUACAGCCAACGCAGGCGCACGCUUGGACCUGGGGGCUGUGGUGAAGUGCUGAAGUGUUUUCACAGUGAAGCUAUAGAUCACAGCAACGUUUGGGCCGGGUCACCUCCAGCGCAUCCCCAGGAGCCAGCAGGGACCCCCACGACCUGCAGCCACUCAUUAAAAAGUAAUCACCUCGUACCAGGAGGAUAUGAACAGCCCAAGGUCAGAUCCAUAACUGCGUUCUUUCUGCAGCGCGUACCUGGAGCGCGCGGCCAACACGGUGACCGCCGGGAGCUGAGCGCUGCCCCACUGCUGUGCUCGGGCAGCACUUGGGUCACCCUAUGGGGACACCGCUCUCCAUCAACUCCAAGAACCCACAGCACUGAAGGUGUUCACCAGUUAUUUUCACUUUGCGGAUUUAUGAUUUUCAUCUUGCUGCUACGUCACAGCGUGAAGCUGCCAAGUGCAAGAUAAAACCGUAAGACACAGGCAAACAGCAUUGCCACACACAGACCCAGCAGGACAAGGAGCAGAGCUGGGUGCAACCCCACCGCUGGGAACGUCCCCUCGCCACCGCAGACAAUGCCAGCCCACAGCUGAUGCCGUCGCUUUGGGAACGCGGAGGGAGAUUAAUGACAGCGAGCAGCUGAGAGCCACCGAGCAGGGGAUGGGGAGCGGGCUGCGAUGUCCCUGCUGCCACGAGCCCCGUCCCCGCUCCGCGCCGCCGCACCUCUCCUCUAUUUACACAGCAAAUUCUUUGUCGGGGAUGGCCUCCUCUGAUGAGUUUGGCCGGGGCAGGAGAAAGGGGCACUUAUUCCGCUAUUAUUCAGCCUUUUUCUUUUUCUUUUUCUUUUUUUUUUUUUUUGUGGACAAGACAAGUGUGGGUUAAAGUGCAAUUUGUCUUGACGUUAGUUUUCACUUUCUUGGAGCGGGGGGUGGGGGGGGAAAUAGAGAAAAGUGGCUCUUUGGAAGGAAAACACCGCAGCCAGGAGACGUCGCUGCCUGCAAACGGAGCUGGAAAUGGGGGAACCUGGACCAGGGCAUGGAGUGAGGGGCACAUCUGCGAUGUAAACAGCGAGGGCAUUGCUGUAAUUAAAUACAUCUGCCUAUUUAUUUUUUUUUUU
This is a long non-coding RNA of Numida meleagris (helmeted guineafowl), 1222 nucleotides long. RefSeq lists it as uncharacterized. NCBI's taxonomy places the organism in Eukaryota, Metazoa, Chordata, Aves, Galliformes, Numididae. The record is from RefSeq and is a predicted model, not a curated record. The transcript has 5 exons.